UUUUUGAAAACCUGGCAGCAAGAAACUGAUUUAAAAAACUCUUGUCAUUUAAUUUCUUCAAAUUCAGUCAUUUCAGUUCCUAGAAAGACUUACGGUAAUUUCCUUCAGAAGUACUCAGCAAGCUCAUUUCUGGCCAAAUGCCUUUAAAGCAAGAGCACUGUCAUGAAUUAAAGUACACCCUCUGUGCAGUGCUUCAACAACCCAGCGUGAAACAGAAGAGACAUGCAUCUCUCAAGGCUCACAUCCAGAAGGAAGAGACGCUGACUAAAGUCUUCAGAAUAAGCACUCAGACUCUGGCACAGCCCUACUUGUACUUCUUCCUUCUCCAUCUGUACUUAAUAAAGUACUCAUCCUAAUGACAUCAUUCAACAUCCAGUUUUCCCUCUGCUUGGCACAGGAAUAAGGAUUGCGUGUCUGAGGAUGAUUUAAAAAAAAAAUCAAAUUGCUUAAAUACAGAGAACUGGUGACACAAGAGCGCUAUGGAAAGAGUGUCACCUCUUCCUUCCCCUCCAGAAGCAGUGGUGUUAAAAAGCUGCAUGAUCCGUGCACACUUCAUAAUCAGGCAAGCUAUUGAGAUGUUAUGUUUAAUAUUUUCUGUCAUCACCAGUCUGAACAGCUCUCUUUUAAGCAUAUUGAAAUGUGGGAAAUUGCAUUCUGAAGACUGGUAAGCAAUUUGUGGUAGCAGAAGGAAUGCUUAACAUAACUGGUAGGAAUUGCCAUUAGGUCUUUCUGAAAUUUCUCUCUCUACUUGAUUAGUUCCAUUAGCUGGCUGUUUUUUCUCUUCCCUAUGAGUUGCCUCCUCGUUGUUCUUGUUUUGUUUGUGUUUGUUUUACAGUCAGGACAAAUGUCUCUACCCCACAAGUAGAGCUAAGCACUCUCGGAAUAACAAUCAUUUAAUAAUGCUUGGCUUCAUGUGUGUCAGCUGCAGAUGACAUUUAGCACAGGCUUUAUCUCAGUU
RNAcentral lists this long non-coding RNA (958 nucleotides) under Chrysemys picta bellii (western painted turtle). RNAcentral's name for it is "lncRNA (ENSCPBG00000010801.1)". Lineage: Eukaryota; Metazoa; Chordata; Testudines; Emydidae. The record is from RNAcentral.